Molecule: long non-coding RNA, 29450 nt
Filed under: Theobroma cacao (cacao)
Lineage: Eukaryota; Viridiplantae; Streptophyta; Magnoliopsida; Malvales; Malvaceae
Description: long non-coding RNA (TCAC_LNC002123)
Source: RNAcentral
AGCAUCCCCAUGGUAACAAAGUAGACACUGAAUUUCCAAAACCUCCUUUUCCACCUUCUGGGUAAGUUUUCCUUUUCUUCUGAAGGUUGCACAGAACAUACGUCUUGCAAGCUAUCUGUCAAUGCAAUCAUCUUUGAAGCCACAGGUUCCUCCUUCCCAUGGGAGUGGUCAUCCGUUGUCGCCUCCUUUGAUGCAUUUGAAUUCCUUGCAGAAUCAAUUGCACCACUAGGUACCCUCUGGAUUUCAUUCUGAUCAGCUGACUUUACUCGGUUUCUAAGGGUCUCAACAUGAGCUGUGCUACGAUUUGCGUUGGGAGACCUUAUCACAUUCAUAGAGUCAAAUGUUGAGUUCCAUUCUUGAGGGUUCAAUGGAGAAAUAUGUGACAUGGUUGCCGGUGAAAACCGAUGAGAAAUCACAUCCUCUUCAGCUACAGCCGCUCUACUUGGAUCUUCUUCAUCCUUCUGAACAGAUAACACCCUCCAAUACAUGCACAGGAGAAGUAAAGCAUUCACUAAGACUCCUACCAGCAUUGCAGGUAGAAUUCCUAUAAGAAAAUCCCCGAAAGAAAUUCCACUCUGAAUUGCUAUAACAAGGUUUUGAGGGUUCCCAAUUGGAGUUGCUGAAGACCCUAUAUUGGCACUUGAGGCAAGAGCAAGCAGGAAUGGAUGAGGGGGUAGAUUAUGUUGUCUUGCAAUUUUUAACACAAAUUCAGUCAAAAUCACACAUGAGGUAUCAUUGGUGAAAAGAGCACUUGAAAUGGCAGAAAUCAGGCAGAUUCUGAAAAGUAAGUCCUUAGCACCUUUACUCUUCCAUGCAAGCAACUUACCUAGAUAUUUAAACAUAUCUGCUCUUUCAAGAUAGACACUGACAACCAUAGUACCAAAUAAAAGGCCAAGGAUUGGGAGAUCAAUUGCAUCAUAUGCUUGAUCUGGGGUUAUGACUCCAAACAAAACCAUAAGCAUGGCCCCUAGUAAGGACCCUGCAGUCCUCCCAACUGGUAGAAAGGGGACAGCAGGGAAAACUGCCAAUACCCAGAAGAUUGCAAACGCAAUUGAGCCUAGAACCACUUUAACAGAAGAAGCCAUGGCCAUUGUUUCUGAUCAAUUAAAAACCUAAAGAAUUCCAAACCUUCGAAAUCUUAUCCAGUACGAGCAGUCCAGUUCAUGCCAUCAGUUUCCCGCCCAAAACAACUACGCAGAGCAGCUUAGCAGUGUGAUCCAACAGAACAUUAUUUUCGAAGUAAAAGAUUUUCGUCCUCGAGACACUGUCAUAAAUUCAAGUCAAAUUUCAAAAGAAGUCAGAAAACUCAGUAAAACUCAAAGACAAGAACUCAAAACAGCAAGCACCCAAAAAAAUUUUGGAAAGAUGUAACAGAGUCCACGAUUCAACUAUCUCCUUUGUCGCUAAGUCAUGGCCAUUUUAGUGAACUUCUAGUCCACAACCUCUAUUGAAUUCAAAGUAUUCAGAUGCAAAGCAUGUUCAUACAAAGUACUGAAGAAAAAGUUUAGACUCACAGUAAUGAAAAAUUGAACGGGGCCAUACUUGCCUGUGAAGGCCACAGCUUUCCAUCAAACUAGGCUCUGCAUUAGAUGGGUUUGGAAAGCACUUCUUCCCAGUUGUCUGAAGGAGAAAUGUGGAUCACAAGUUCGGUUUAGCAUGUUGGAGCUUCCGUUUUAUAACCGUGAAAAAGAUCUUGUCUUGCAUGAUUUCCACGUCCACUCCGGCAAUCGCAUUCAUUCAAUCUUUUAUUUUCUUUCUUUGUCCUCCAAUAUUUUAGAAAGUUAGAGCUUAUUAUCUAUUAUUUUCUUUCUUUGUCGUUCCAUCUUCUAGAAAGUUACCCUCUUAACCAUCCCUGCAUUUGCACUAACAUAUUAUGAAAUUAAUUAAUUAUAAUAAUUCACUAGUAUCAUACAAAUGAAAGGGAAAAAAAAUACUACUGAUAACAAUCCAUUUUGUAUUAUAUCUAUUUAGUGCGUAGAAGUCGGUUAAACUCAAACCGACUCCAUUGCCCAAAUUCUUUCACCGGCUGCAACCUACCCAAGUAGCAACUAGUUGGCAUCGAGAGUUGGAGGCCAGCAACUUUUAUUGAGAGGUUUUUUUUUUAUAGUUAAAAGAGGAGCGAUUCGAAUCCUGUUUUUUAGGCAAGAAGAUUAUGUAUUAACUAAUGAGAUAAAUAUUCGGGUGUGAUUUUUAUUGAGAGGUUAAAGAUAAAAAAGAAUAAAAAUUAAAAAUUUUUAAAAUAAAUAUAUUGAAUUUAAAAAAUAAUUAAAAUUUUAUAAUAAAUAAUAAUUUUAUAUAACAUGUAAAUUAAAAAAAUAAAAAAAACUUAAAAAAUAAUUUUAUAAGUAUCAGAUUUUACUUGAAAAAUAUCUAUUUUUUCAAAAUUGAACUUACGCCGUUUUGAUUCAUACUAUUCUUUUUCAUGAUUUGAAGUAUUGAGGUUCAAUAGUUCAAAUGUAAAAAAAUUAUUUAAAACUUACUUGUACUUUAAUCAUAUUUGAAUUUUUUUUGACAAAUGUUUUUAUUAAACUUUUGCUUGAUCAAAAACUGAUAAACUACUUGAAAAUUUAUACAAUUACACAGAAAAAUCACUUUAAAAACUUGAUGGUUGCUCAAAAAAAAAAAUGCCUAGCAACAAAAAAAAGAGCAAGCACAUCACACCACUAACAUAAAAAAAAAAAUUAAGAUCAGAUCCUAAUCAAUGGGUAGCUAACAUCCAAUUUUAUUAUUUUAUUUCUAUUUAAAUUUAAAAUACUAAAUAUAAAACUAUAAUGUAUAAAAUAUAAAUAGUUAAAUACAAUAUAUAGGAUUUAGUUGAAAAAUAAGAGUAUGAGAAGAAUAUUUGUAGUGUUAUUACUUAAUAGAUCUAUACAGUCCAUAUAUAGACAUGAGUCAAAGGUAUAAAUCCUAUAAUUAAGCUAUUGUUCCUAUAAUCAAGUUCUUCUCUAUUCCUAUAAUCAAGCUUUUUUCAUAAUGAGUCUGUCAACACUUAAUGUACAGUUAAGUUAUCUCUAGAAUAAGAAAGAAUCACAAGAACAAUUAUAAGGAUAAUUGGCUAUCUAUCAAUAUUUCAACAGAUUUUACAUAAUGGUUAAAUAUAUAAAUAGUUAAAUAAAAUAAAUAAAAAGAAAAAGAUAUAAGAAAACUUAAUUUUCUUUUAAAUUACACAAUGAGGUGAGUGGUCUUUAUAAUUUUUUGUCUAAGCUCGAAAGCUCAUAAAUUUAAUUUGAGGAAUGAAAUGCAUUCUACUAGUGAGGUACAAAGAAAACAUUAAAGUAAAAAUAAAAAGACAAAAAAAAAAAGAGGGAAAAGAGAUAUGAAAAAACUUAAAUUAAAAUACAGUUAAGUAGGGUUUAUAAAAUUAUUUUAUUAUUUAUAUUAAUAUUGAAAUAAAAAAAUUAUUUUAAGAAAUUAUUAAAAAAUAUAUAGUCAAUAAAUAAUUUCAUAAAUUUUGNAUAAAAUAAAUCAAAAAAAGAAAAGAUAUAAAAACUUAAUUUUCUUUUAAAUUACACAAUGAGGUGAGUGGUCUUUAUAAUUUUUUGUCUAAGCUCGAAAGCUCAUAAAUUUAAUUUGAGGAAUGAAAUGCAUUCUACUAGUGAGGUACAAAGAAAACAUUAAAGUAAAAAUAAAAAGACAAAAAAGAAAAAAGAGAUGUAAAAAAACUUAAAUUAAAAUACAGUUAAGUAGGGUUUAUAAAAUUAUUUUAUUAUUAAAUAUUAAUAUUGAAAUAAAAAAAUUAUUUUUAAGAAAAUUAUUAAAAAUAUAUAGUCAAUAAAUAAUUUCAUAAAUUUUGAAAGAAGUCAUUAAAAAAUAUAUAAUAAAUAAAUAAUUUUAAAUUAUAAUAAAAUAAAUUAAAAUAUAAAAAAAUAUAUAAUAAAAAAUUUUAAAACUUCGUCGGCCCCACAUUGUUAAAUUACCGCCUCUAUUGUUGGUUCUUUCUUUUUUCUCCCUGGGUUCUUCUUUUUUGUGUUGAAUUUGUGUUUUUUUUUUUUGGUUAGUUUUUGUCAUUUUCUUUGUUUAAUUCAUUAUAUACAUCUGACUAUUUCUAUUUUUGCUAGGGAUUGAUUGUUCAUAGUUGAUGAUGCUAUGUUGUGUUUUGUUUUGGUUUCGCCUCAUUUCUUGCUCUGUUGGGUUUUCUCGGAUCGUUGUUAAAAUUUUCUUUCCUUUUGUUUUUUGUUAGAUUGUGAGUUGGAUUUUGGGUUUUUUUUUUUUUUCUAUGGUUGUCAUCCAAACUAUCAGUUGAUUUUUCCCUCUUUAUUUUUGCUUUACUGUUUCAGUAGUUCAUUUGCGACACAAAUGCUUGUUGAAAUGCAAAAACUUGGCGUCCUGAAAUUGAGUGAAUGGUUCCUAACAUUAACGCUCUCUUUUCUGUUAUAUGUGAAUCGAUUCUUGACUGGAGUUUUACUCUUUGCAAAUUCUCUGAAAUUCGCAACUUGGCCCCAAAAAGAAAGAAAAGAAUAUUACAAGUGUUGAGAGUAUUUGCUUUGCUUUGUCUUUUAUAUUCAGAGACCACGUUCUUUGUUCAAUAUUUCUUUUUGUUAACGGCAGCCAUUGCAUGAAAUGCUCCAUUCAAAUUUUACUUCUGUUUUAUUUCUGUUGUCAUUAAUGCAAUAGUUUUUUUCUGAUAUAUUUUCUAAUGUUACUAUUAAUUUCAUCAAAUUUAAUAGUUGCUUAGCCUUGCAUUCAUGUGUCAAAUUUUUUGUAAGUGAACAUGUCUCACUUUGCUUUGUAUAUAAUUAUUAUCAAAUGGCACUAUUUACAUGUCCAUUAAAUACAAGACCCGUCAACAUUAAUUUCAAUUUACUUAAAAAAUGACUUAUCUUGCCAUGCAUAAGGUUACACUCUAAGAUCAUUGCAAGAGCCAAUCCCAAAAUAUGUGAUGUAAGACACUCUAAUAAUUAUAUGUAUGUAUGUAUAAAAUUGUAAGAGUCAAUCCCAAUAUAUGUGAUGUAAUACACUCUAAUAAUUAUAUGCAUGUGUAUAAAAUUGUAAGAGCCAAUCCCAAUAUAUGUGAUGUAAUACACUCUUAUAAUUAUAUGUGUGUAUGUAUAAUAUUGUAAGAGCCAAUCCCAAUAUAUGUGAUGUAAUACACUCUAAUAAUUAUAUGUGUGUAUGUAUAAUAUUGUAAGAGCCAAUCCCAAAAUAUGUGAUGUAAGACACUUUAAUAAUUAUAUGCAUGUAUGUAUAAAAUUGUAAGAGCCAAUCCCAAUAUAUGUGAUGUAAUACACUCUAAUAAUUAUAUGCAUGUGUGUUUAAUAUUGUAAGAGCCAAUCCCAAUAUAUGUGAUGUAAUACACUCUUAUAAUUAUAUGUGUGCAUGUAUAAUAUUGUAAGAACCAAUCCCAAAAUAUGUGAUGUAAUACACUCUAAUAAUUAUAUGUGUGUAUGUAUAAUAUUGUAAGAGCCAAUCCCAAAAUAUGUGAUGUAAUACACGCUAAUAAUUAUAUGUAUGUAUGUAUAAUGUGUAUCUAUUAAGGAUCCACCAAUAUGUCUCUAUCCCUUACUUUGAUCUCCAGCUCACAAUCCAUUCAUAGAAGCUACUAUAGUUAUUAUUUUUUAUUUAUUGGGUAACUUGUUUAUAUUCUUUAGCAAAUGAAAUUCAAUGGUCGGAGCAUAAAAAAAAAGUUUGAAAUUCAAUUCAAGACCUUAACACACCAAAAUGAUUUUGAUUUUAAACAGUAAGAGCUUGCAAUUGUAUGAAAAGAAAAGAAAAAGAAUUGUUUGUGACUACCAUUAGUGAAUGUCAUUGUUCAAAGAAUUUGUUAUUGUAUGUGUUGAGUUUUAGGUUGACUAGAAUUUUAAAUUUUAUUUGAAUAGGAUUCUUGUUUGUUUACAAUAUUGAAUAGUUGUAUGGUUUUAAAUUUCUUAUUUUUCAUUAAGUCAUAAUCGUAUUCUACUUUAAACUUUUAUAUUAUAAAAAUGGAUCUCUAAGCUUUAAAAUUAAAAGUAGUGCUUUGGGAGCUCUAGAGAGGAGAUAUUUUGUAACUCUGUAUUUUGCUCUAGUUAAAGUUAGAGUGGUUUGGAUGGGUGUUCUUGAUCAGUUAUUUAAAAAGGAUGUGUAAGAGAUAUUGGGUUGAUUUGAAAAAACAUAAAAGUUAAUUUAUUAUAUUUUAAUUUUUUAAUAAUAAAAUAACAGUUUCACUUCGUAAACAUAAGCAAGAGAUCGAAUCACUUAAAUUUUUAUAUUUUUUUAUUUACUUAAUUUCUUUAGAUUUUAUCUUUAUUAUUUUUUAGAUAAUUAUUAUACCAGUAUGUUUAACAUGUAGAAAUAUCCAAGAGCUUUAAUUAUAUCCCUUAAUUUAGUUCUCCUAAAAGAAAGAUAAUGAACGUGUGGUAUCCUUCAACUUGUCUGUCACUUCGAUCCACCUCUGCUUAAGCGUGCUCCCCAUCGAUAUUACUUUCUUUGAAUAACUUUCCUUUGGCUUAGUCAAAAGUAUAGAGCGUAUUUUUUUUUCUCAACCAAUCAAAAGACUUCAUUGAUAGUUGAAUGACAAUUACAAAAGAGAAUAUGAAAUGGCCGCCCAGCCAAGGAAUUAACAUAAGUUCAAUUACAAAAGAGAAUAUGAAAUGGCCGCCCAGCCAAGGAAUUAACAUGAGUUAUGUACCGAAACAAGAAAAAGGGAAAACCAAAUCACAAUAAGACAGACACAUCCCCCUUCAGCAGCAGCAGACAGAAGUAGAGAUGUUCUCAAAAAGCCAUUAAUAUAUCAAAGUGAAAGAUGACGAAACUUGGUGGAAGGAAAGCACCAAUGAAGUGGAAAACGUAAUGCUCCACACUGAUUUUAGGGAUUAAUACCCAUGCAAGUUGCAAAGUUGCAGGUGAGCGUGCAUUAAAUCCAUAUUCAAUGUCUAAAGAGGGACCAAGAAUUUGAUUGUGAAAUUUUUUAAAGUCCAACAAUGGCUGGUUUAUAUUACGAUAUACUAAAAUGGGUUCUGACAAAACCAUGUAUAGAAAACCUUUGCAUGGUAAUAAAUGUACAAAAUGAUACUAAUUCCAAUUAAACUGUGUGGUUAUGACUAUUCGUAGACUAUGUUCUAUGAGCACAUCAGGAAUGCUUGUUGGAAAUUUAAAAGAUUUUGUUAUAUUUGCAGAUUAUUAUUCUGCUAAAAUGAUGAAAAAUAAAACUGGAAGGCUAGAGAAAGAUAAAGCGAGAAAGAAAAUGUAAUUAAAUUCAAAGUCUUUUUAUAGUCUUUUCAUUUAAUUAUAACACUUGUACAUACAUUUACAAUGCAAUAUCUAUAUCUUACUUUACAAAUCCAUUAUUCAAUAUGACAAUAACUAUAAAAAAGAAAAUAAACUGAUAUUAACUAAUAAAUUAAAAAUUGUUAAGAAUAACUAAAUAUGCUUCUUCAAGUCAAAUCUUAUUCUUCAACAAUGCCAAACCAAUGGCUGUAACUAUAAGAGUGGAAGGGACUCCAAAUUUAAGGUGUUUCCAGAAAGAUAAAUUGUAGCCAACUAGAGCGUGGCGAGCUUGCUCACACACCAUCAAGUUAGCAGCCGAUCCGAGAAGUGACAGGUUACCAGCUACAGUGCUGACCCAAGCUAAAAUCAGCCAUGCCUUCUUCUCAUGGGUUGCAGAAAUAGCUGAUGCUGAUAAUGCCACCGGCUUUCUAAGCAAAAGAACUGUUUGAGAAAUAAAAAGAAAACCAUAAGCAUAUAUGUUAAUUUUAAUGACAGGCUAAACCUGCUGGUGUUUUACAGCUACAACAUUUCUAGCUGACAACUGUAGAGUGUGUAAACAGGAGAGUUUAAGGUGGUCCCGAAUAGGCCAAGAGAGUUUUUUAAAUUGUGAAAUGAUGAGGUAGUCGUUAGAGGAGGAGAUGACCAAGUUUCGAGAAUGGCAUUGUAUGCAAUCACUUGAUCUGUGUGGUUACAACGCAAUCAAAUUGUGUUUAGAAGCGCUGUAUGGAUGCGAAUCAGGUUUUGGAGCUCAGCAAGCUUAGGGUUGCGGUUUGGGCCAAGGCUAAAUAGAGAAUCAGGCAUGAAAUAGUCCAAUAGUGGUGUCAUGAUUUCAAAUUUGAAGGAAUAAAAAUAAAAAAUUUAAUAUUUAAAGAGGUAACAUUAUAUAAUUUUUAAAAAAUAAAAAAAUAAAAUUAUAAAUAUUUAAAACAAAACAAGGAAAAAAUUAUGAACUUUUGAAACUUUGGGAGAGCGGGGCCCAGCUAGCCCCCCUCCCUCCGCCUCUAGGGUGAUCCUUGACACAUACCGGAAUUCUGCUUUUGGUGUGGGAAUGAAGGAGAUAUAGAGAAGUGGAGGGUUGGAUCAAAUCAGUGGUGGGGAUGAAUGUAAUAAGUUGGGAGGUUAAGCAUUUUUUUAGAGAGAACAAUCUGUUGGCUGAUAAACUUACAAAAGUUGAAGUUCAACGUGCUCAGGACCUCAUCAAUGUGCUGGAUUAACCACUGGUAUGGCUUAUUAUUGUGUGAGUUGAUGGUUUCUAUGUGAUUUGAUGAGACUGCUUUCCAGAAUGAUCAAGGACGAGGCUUUCUAGUGCUGAGAUGAUUUACCUCUGGUUGGUUAUGGGUCAUGUUGCUGUGGAGGUUUUGGUUUUUGUUCUUUUUUAUUGUACAUAUGUUAGAAAUGAACUUUUUUACCAGAUGUUUUAACAGGUAGUUGGAAUAGCUCUUUUUUGUUUCCUGGAAAGGUACAAGGCUGUCUUUGGUUUCUCUUUUGUUUGGGAGGGCAACUGGCAGGAAAUAGGGAGGCAAGCGAUUACUAGUGAAUUGUAUAUAUAGGUUUUUGGGUAUAGGGUAUUGAGAUGAUUGAGGAUUGUUAUUCCCAAAAUUCAGAGUAACAGACCUGAAUCAGACUCUAAUUCAUCCAGAGGUGCACUUUUGAUUUCCUCUGUCUGAAAUAUAUCAUUAACUUUAAAAAAAAAAUGUAGAGUGUAAACAUCAACAUAUACCAGUUGGUACAUUCGAAGCCAAAUUUGAAAGGACGAGUAUGACAAUGGCAAGAACCGCUAUCCCGAAAAUAUCAUUGAUCUUUGCAUAGGGCUCCACCAAGUCCCAAAGAGUGCUUGGGAUCCCAGUCUUGUUAAAGCCAGCCACUGUAGCAAACAUUCCGCAGAAGAAAACUAGAAGCGGAUACGACACCUGGUAAAAGAAGAGAAGUGUAGCAGAACUUUGAGUAAGUACCCACGUCAAAGAGAUUACAAGAAGCAAAAGAUGCAAUAGCAAGAACAUUCUGGUUUGCAGAUUACCUUUUCUAGGCAAGGGUGUGCAUCAUUAAAAUCAAGAACGAUAAGAGCAAUUGCAGCGGUGAUUGCAGUCCAGGACAUGUUAAAAUCCAUAAGAAACGAAAUCAGCAUUCCUAAGGUAACAAGGUACACGCAUGGUUUCCACAUUGUCCUUUUCCACCUUGUGGCCAAGUUUUCCUUCCCUGCUGGUUUCGAAGAUUCUACGAAGACUGGUGCCCUCACUCUAUGUUGCUUUGAUAGAAGUGGAAUUGCCUCACUUCUCUCGGAAGAACCAACACUUGUCACGGUUAUCAUUACUGCAUUAGACUCAACUGCGCUCUUGGAUACCAUUUGGAUCAUUUCACUCUCAACAAAACUCUCUCGGUUUUUAAGAGUGUCAACAUAAGCUGUGUUUGUAUUAGUUUUGGGAGAUAUUUGUGGGUUCAUUGUUUCCAAUAUGGAGUUCCAUUCUUGAGAGUUUAAUGAUGAAGAAUGUAACAUCGUGGCUGGUGAAUCACAAGGAAAAAUUCUAUUUUCAUCUGCUACUACUUUUCCAAUGGCAUCUUCUUCAUCUAUCGGAAUAGAUAACAAGCUCCAAUACAUGCACAGAAGCAGCAAAAAGUUCACAAUUAAACCCACAAGCAUUGCCGGCCGAAUUCCAAUAAGAAAAUCCCCAAACGAAAUUUUACUGUUAAAUGCUAUGACCAGGUUUUGGGGGCUUCCAAUUGGAGUUGCCGCAGAGCCAAUAUUUGCACUUGUCGCAAGAGCGAGCAGGAAGGGAUGAGGGGGUAGAUUAUGUUGUCUUGCAAUUGUUAACACAAAUUCAGUCAAAAUUACACAUGAGGUAUCAUUGGUGAAAAGAGCACUUGAAAUGGCAGAAAUCAGGCAGAUUCUGAAAAUUAAGUCCUUAGCACCUUUACUUGUCCAUGCAAGCAACUUAGCUAGAUAUUUACACAUAUCUGCUCUUUCAAGAUAGACACUGACAACCAUAGUACCAAAUAAAAGGCCAAGGAUCGGGAGAUCAAUUGUGGAAUAAGCUUGAUCUGGAGUCAUGACUCCGAAUAAAACCAUGAGCAAGCCCCCAAGUAGGGAGCCCGCAGUUCUCCGUAUUGGCAUAAAAGGUACUGUAGGGAAAACAGCCAAUACCCAAAAGACUGCAAAAGCAAUGGAUCCUAGAACUACAUCAACCGGAAAAGCCAUGUCCAUUUUCUCAGCACAAUAAAAAUGUUCUUCUUGCUAGCAAGUUUCGAAUCUUCAAAAUCUUAUUCAGUAGGAUUCCAGGAAGUGCAUGAAGUUCUAAGCCCUAAAAAUCUUAUACAUCGGAACUGUAGUACUUUCAAGUACUGCUAGCUUAUCAGAAACUAGCUGCUAGGGGCGUGCACUAAAGAGCCGAGAUAUUGAUUAUCCAACCGGUUGAACAUUGUCAGUGAGUGAAGACAAGAUUUGACCCCGAACAAGACACUGUCACAAAAGCAAGCAACAUUAUAAAACUCAAAUAUCCUGAAAAAACGUUCAUUGAACAGUAACCAAACAGCUUGAGAGCAGACAAUAAAUACACUGAAAAGUAAUUAGUUAUGCAAAAAGAUAUUCCAUGCAAAAUCUCUUGCAUGUUAGAAAGAUAAGAAUUAAGCUUGAGAAAAAUACAAACAAAAAUAUCAUCAUCAUCAUCAUCAGGAUACCUAGUGCAAUAGAUAAUGGUACUAUAAGAUAAAAUCCGGAUUCUAAUUCCAAGUACGUAUACCCUGGCCAAAUGCGCAUACAAAAUGCUUUUAAAAUACCAAAAAAACAAAAUCAUAUAGUUCAGCUUGUUUCUAUAAAAUGCUACUCUCAUGGUCACAUAUGCUCCCAGUUCAUGCGUCAAACGACCAAAUAAAUUUUUUUUUUUUGAAAGGCAUGAACAUUUCAUUGAAAGAGCUAGCUGGCAAGGGGUUGCCAGAAAAAAACAGAGAGGGUAGAGAAAAUCGCUUCAGCUGCUAAUCCCCUGUUACAAAGAGACAAAAUGGGUUACACAAUUUAGCCACAAAAAAACAAUUAGUCCCCUGGGUCCUAAAUGGUAAUACAGUUCAGCUACAAAACAUAAGAAAAAAGCGAAGGGGUAGAAAAUAUUUGUGCCCACCUGUACAUGCAAAAAUACCUCAAAAAUAUUUUAAAACAGGAAACACCAGAUGGGAAGUUUUCAAACAAGAUAGAAGAACCGCGCCCUUGGUUCAUCUAUCUUCGCCUCUACUGUAUUCAACGAACUGUUAAUUAGCUCAAAUCUCAAUAUCCAUAUGUAAUUCAAAUGCUAUAAUAAUCUGUCUCACACUCUACAUAUUGUGACUAUUCCUCUAAAAAAGAAAGCACUUUAAACUCACUUUAACAAAAAGUUGUACCAGCUCUAAUGGCGUUGAGAGCGUCUUGGGUUGGACGUGAAGGUGUGGGGCCUUUAUAAUAGAAGAAACCAGGUUUGUAAUUGGAUGGAUUAGAUACUUAAGAAUACUAUCAUCACUUUCAGGUUUAGUCAAAAAUGUUGAAGAUCCGUAAUUUCCUUCGCUCCUUCAUUGUUUGUUUUUCUUUCUAAGAGUUUUGUUGCGACUUGUGAUAAAACCUAAGGAAAAAUUGUCACAUUUACAUUAAUUCUGAAACUUCUUGGAAAAACCUUUAACGACUAGGUUCAUAUACCGUUCUUUAAGGUUUAUUAGCCUAGUGGUCCUGUAAUGUGAAGUCUAGCCAUGCAUUUAUAGUUACGUGUUGAGUUGUGAAUUUGACUUUUAUAUAUAUUCCGGUGCAUCCACAGAAGAGGAAAUCACAAUGCAUCUUGCUCAGCAGGCGUAGCUUGGAGUGGGAGUGUAGCGUAGGUAAGGUAAUGAAAGUCGCCGCCAGAGAGGAAGCCAAACCGGCCUAUUAAGCGCAACUAUAACAAAAGAAAAGGAUGUUUUUUGUUUUUCGAUAGAAAGAAAAAGAAGGAAAAGCAGUUUGGAAAUUGAAAAUAGGGUUUUUUUUUACAUAUCAAGUAAAAUUAUGAGAUAUUUAUUGAGAUUUGUCAAUAAUCUAAAAUGAGAAAUGUUAUAGAGUAAUUUAAGUUGUGAAUAAUAAAAUUACUAUACAUAUGAUUUAAAUGAAAACAGAUGAAUCAAUAUUAAUUCAGAUUUAAAUUUAAUUAUUAAAAAAUCUUAAAAAUUGAUUGAAAAAUUAAUAUUAUAUAUGUAUAUUGCGAAUUUAACUAUUUAUUAAAUUUUUUUAUAAAUAAGAUAUUUCAAUAUUUUAUUAAUAUGACACUUUUCAAAAAUCUUCCUAGAGAUAAUGUUUUAGUUUUAUUAAGCAAUCUUAUGUGAAUUUCAUUCUCAUACUUUAUUUUUAUAUAAGUACACUAUUUUUAUUUUCUCUUAAUAAAAAAAAAGGAAAAAUAGAAGGUGUAAACCGUAAAACGAAUUGAAGUAUCGAGCGGCACCAGGCACUGUUUGACCCGACAGUAAACGAUAUAACCCGAUAACCAAAGAAUCGGGUUCCGUUGGGCAGAGGGAUCUCGGCCCAUUUAUAAUCAUUACAAGCUGAAUCAGCCCAAUUUCAAAUUGUUGACUUUUCUUCUUUUUUAAAAAAAAGCUUUUAAGACUUGUUCUUUAAAUUAGGGGAAAAAAUGAAACAACCUUGGGCUAAAAUGGUUCAAUAGUGAACGCAAAAACCUCAUUCAGAUGCAAAGCUUUGGGUUCAACUCAUUACAAUGUGAAGCUUGGACUUUGGAUUCAGUUGUAAACAUCAGGUUCCAAAUGGACAAAUACCAAUCUUGCUCUAUUGAUAGAAAAGAUAAGAUUUCUAGCAUUGGUCAGUUGGUCAGAUACUAAGAAAGAGAAGGAUAUGAGAAAAGAAACAGAGCAGAAGUGAGGCCGCAAAAUCCCCGUCGAUCUUAGUGUGACUUUGUAAAUCAGAGUCCAUUUUCUGUUGGCCACAGGCUGUUUUAUCUUUUCUGUCUGUUGAUUUUUGUUAGGGAUAGGUGGGCAGGACAGAGACAUAGCUUGGCUGCUAGUCUGCUACCCAACAAACAUUAUUCUGCUUAUCCUUAGCCAGCAUAAAAAGUGCUGGCAUCAACCAUCAUUUUAUGAUCUACUAAAAACUUCCACUGUCUUACUGAUCCAUCUAUGCCCUACAAAGAUUUGCCUUUUAAAAUCAUAUUGACUCAUCAACUACUAUCUGCACCAUACUUGCAUUCCCGACUUCAAUGCUAUGCAGAGUUGGUCCGGAGUUAGGACUGCUUCAGCUGUGGGUUCUUUGGUUAAUUCUGGAUCCGGAUAUUGAAACUGGCUAUUGGACUUGCUCUAGCUUCCAAACUACUAAUAUUUUCCAAUAAAAUUUACCCUUGACCUGAUAACCUGGCAUAAAAAAUGGUAUGCAUUAGCCAUUUGGCCAUCAACUCUAACUGGUGUUCAUGACACAGAAGUUACCCGAAGUAAUGAGCCUUUAGAGGUUUAACCACAGGAAGACCCAUUUUUUUUCUCUGCCAGCAGUCCCAGAGCAAUAUUUAUUAAUAGUGAGCAGCGAUGUUCUUUCUUCUACCUUUUCCAUUCCAAGAAUCCUACUAAAUGCCUUUCUUAUCAGUGACAACAGACGAUGCCGUGCUGGAUGCUGCCUCAUAAUAUUUGCAAUUCCUAAGGAGAUCUCUUUGUGCGCUAGCUUAACUAGUUGUCCAAGGCCAGGCCUUUGUUAAACACCAUGACACACCUAAGCAAGGUUAAAACAUAGCCACAAAUUUCCAGGAGCCGGUAAAGAAAAGAUAAUUCCUGAUAGAAUCAGAAUGAACUAGCAAUUUGAAGCGUAUGGAUCAUCUUCAUAGCAUUUUUAAUUUUUGGGAAGCAGACUCAUACAUCGAUAUGGUGUAGUUCACAAAAUGGCAACUAGGCACCAGGUUGAGUUGGCUGUUGAUGAGCAAUUUGCUGCUGAUUAAUUAACAUAGGACUCAGGCAUACAGUGAAUAGUAGAAUGAUAUUGAAUGGGUGCUGAAACAAUGCAUUGUAGUUGCCUAAAAAGACCAAGAUAUUAACCUCGUUAAUCACCAAAUGAGCUGCAAUUUACUAGCAUGAAAAAAAAAUUAUCCUUAUUAUUAUUACAUAUUAGAGGAAAAUGAAAAUAAUAAUAAUAACACAACACUAUAUGUGAAUACUAUUCUUUUUUUUUUCUUUUGUAUAACAUCGGGGAAAGAAAUAUUAAAAGAAUGCUCUAACAGUACCCACACUGUUGACCCCAAUGAAUUAUUCCUUCACCGGAUCAUCUUUCAGGUCACGAGGGAUAAAGACUCUUCUGACCUCUGAAAACUAGCCUUUAGUCCACCAUCUAAUACCAUACUGUUGAAGCUAUUGUUGGAUAUUUUCAAAUAAAAAAUAUAAUUUCAUAUCUUAAUAAAAGAAAAAAUUGUGACUGUUGAAAAUUAAAUUAAAAAAAAAUUGUAUAUGUUAAAAAUAAAUAAAUAAAAUUAAAAAAAUAAUAAAAAGAUUGGAAAAAACCAACAGGAAGCAACUUUUUGAAAUAGACACAAACAGUGUCUCUUGGGAAUAGACAUUUAUGCCUAUAAAAGAGACUCUCUUUAUCCAACAGAACGUACAUAAGAAAAACAAAAACUUUCCUUUCUUUCUCAAAUUUCUCAAGUUUUUUUCUAUACUAUUUUCCUGCAGAAAAAUAUUAUAAAAAUUUGAUAAUCUUGUUAUAUUCCGGUUAGUGCUCAGUGGAUUGAUUUCGUCAGUGCAAAAAGUUGUCAAUCAUUGGGCUUCAUUGUAUCUUUAAAGUGUAUACGUCGGAAACUUUUUUGCACACUACAAGUGGGGGCAAAUAAAACCUUAAGGACAAUGGCAUUGAUAUACGCCUUGAAGCCAAUUUCUAAGUUUUCAAUUUGGUGUUCUAACAAUCUUAAGGUUUUCUUUUCGUUCCAACAAUGGCUGCUGCAAGUGGGACACUAAGAGAAUUGGCUUCUAAUUUUGUAAAAUUGGACCGGUUUGAUGGUGGCAACUUUCUAAGAUGGCAAAAGAAGAUGCAUUUCCUAAUAUCAACCUUGAAAGUUGUCUAUGUUUUGACCACACCUAGACCAAAAGAAGACGAAAAUGAGUCUGUUGCUACAACGAGAGAAAGGCAAAAAUGGGAAAAUGCCGAUUAUAUGUGCAAAGGUUACAUCUCGAAUGGUUUGGUUGAUGGCUUAUUUGACACAUACCAAAAUGAGGCUACUGCAAAAGAAUUAUGUGACAAACUGGAAGCCAUGUACAUGACAGAAGAUGCAACAAGUAAGAAAUUUCUAGUUAGUCGCUUUAUUAAUUAUCAAAUGGUUGAUGGGCGUUCUGUUAUAGAACAACUAAGAGAAAUUGAAAGAAUGCUUAAUCAGUUUAAAUAAUAUAAAAUGAAAAUGGAUGAAACUAUAAUUGUAUCCUCCAUUAUAGACAAACUUCCUCCAUUAUAGACAAACUUCCUCCAUCAUGGAAAGACUUUAAAAGAAGUCUAAAACACAAAAAGGAAGAAAUAACUCUUGGGGCUUUGGCAAAUCAUCUUCGAAUUGAAGAGGAAUACAGGAAACAAGAACAAGUUGUUGUUUCUGGUGAAGCCAAAGUACAUGUUGUAGAGGAAAGAUAGACCACUAAACCUGUCAAAAAGAAGUUCAAGCAGAUUGCUAAUGGUCCGAAAUUCAAAAGACAAAAUAAAAGCACAUGUUUCUAUUGUGGAAAACCAGGACAUUUCAAGAAUGAAUAUCGAUUAUUGAAGAAGAAAAAUAAUUCUUCAAAAAGAAAAGCUUCUGAAAAUUUUAUAGUUAUGAUUUCUGAAAUCAAUGUACUUGAAGAAAAUGAUGCUUGGUGGGUUGAUUCUGGAGCAACAAAACAUGUGUGCAAUGAUAAGAGUGUUUUCAAGAAUUUCGUAUUAAGUGAGUGUGAAAAUUUCCUAUACAUGGAAAAUUCUUCCACAACAAUGAUUAAAGGCAAAGGGACUGUUGAACUUCAAUUCACUUCUGAAAAAACUUUAACUUUGAAAGAUGUAUUCUAUGUUCCAGAAGUUAGGAAAAAUUUAGUGUCUAAAAGUCUAUUAAAUAAGUUUGGUUUCAAGCUUGUAUUUGAGGCAGAUAAAUUCAUUUUGUCCAAAGGGAGAAUUUUUGUUGGAAAAGGUUACAUGUGUGAUGGAAUGUUUAAAUUAAAUACUGUUAAUAAUAAGAUAGAUGUUUCUACUUAUAUGAUUGAAUCUUCUUAUUUAUGGCAUUAUAGAUUAUGACAUUUAAAUUAUAGAAGAUUGGAUGACAUGUAUAAAAUGGACUUAAUUCCAAAAUUCAAUCCAAAUAUUGAUAAAUGUAAUACAUACAUGCUAACAAAAAUAACUAGAAAUCCUUUUCCUAAAGUUAAAAGAAAUACCAAAUUACUUGAAUUAAUACAUAGUGAUGUGUGUGAUAUGCAUAGUACACCUACAUUAGUUGGAAAGAAAUAUUUUCUCACAUUCAUUGAUGAUUUCUCUAGAUAUUGCUACGUAUAUUUGUUGCAUUCUAAAGAUGAAGUACUUGAUAAAUUUAAGGUUUAUAAAUUAGAAGUUGAAUUACAAUGUGAAUCUUUUAUCAAGUGUUUAAGAUCGGAUAGAGGUAGAGAAUAUUAUAGUCCAAGUUAUUUUGCCUCCACUGGAAUAAUCCAUCAUAUUUCAGCACCUAACACACCACAACAUAAUGGUGUAGCAGAAAGGAAUAAUAGGGUCUUGAUCGAAAUGGUAAAUGCUAUGUUAUCAUAUUCAGGUCUUGGAAAAGGUUUUUGGGGAGAAGCUUUGUUAACAGCUUGUCAUAUAUUAAAUAGAAUUCCUAUAAAGGAAACUAAAAUGACCCCGUAUAAGCAAUAGAAGAAAAAGAAACCAAACCUUAAUUAUAUGAAGGUUUGGGGAUGUAAAGCUGUAGUUAAAAUUUCGAAACCCAAAAAAAAGAAAUUGGGCGAAAGAGGAAUAGAAUGCAUAUUCAUAGGAUAUGCACAACAUAGUAAAGUAUAUAGGUUCAUGGUAAUUGAACUAAAUGAUUCAAUUCCUGUCAAUACUGUUAUUUAAUCAAGAGAUGCAAUAUUUAAUGAAAAUAGAUUCAAAUCUGUUUUAAGACAACUACAACCACUACAAUCAAUUCAGUCAAAUGUCAUUCCAUUGGAACAAAAUCAAGAUAAUGAUGAAUCUAGAUCAGAAAUAAGGAAAAGCAAAAGGGCUAGAAAGGUAAAAGAUUUUGGCCUAGACUUUUAUAUGUUCCUUGUAGAAGGAAUAAGGAAAAAUAUUGACAAUAAGAUUUCUUAUUGUUUUAAUUUAGAAUCAGACCCUGUUACAUAUGAUGAGACAAUGAAGUCUCAAGAUUCUACAUUUUGGAAUGAAGCAAUCAAUGAUGAGAUAGACUCAAUAAUGGGAAAUAAUACUUGAAUUUUGGUUGAUCUUCCACCAGGUUUCAAACCAAUAGGUUGUAAAUGGAUUUUCAAAAAGAAAAUUAAAGUAGAUGGAACCAUAGACAAAUUCAAAGCAAGAUUAGUAGCCAAAGGCUUUAAGCAAAAGCAAGGGAUUGACUACUUUGAUACUUAUGCUCCAGUAGCAAGAAUUGCUACAAUUAGACUUCUAAUCUCCCUUGCAUCAAUUUAUAAGUUGGUAAUUCACCAAAUGGAUGUCAAAAUAGUAUUUUUAAAUGGUGAAUUAGAAGAGGAAGUCUACAUGGAACAACCAGAAGGGUUUGUUGCUUCAAGACAAGAGCAUAAAGUUUGUAAACUUGUCAAAUCAUUGUAUGGGCUAAAACAAGCACCUAAACAAUGGCAUAAAAAAUUUGAUGAAAUUGUUUUAGCUAAUGGCUACAACAUAAAUGAAUCUGACAAGUGCAUAUAUAGCAAAUUUCAAAAUAAUAAAGAUGUUAUAAUUUGCUUAUAUGUGGAUGAUAUGUUAAUUUUUGGUACGGAUUUAGAACAAGUUGAGGAGACAAAGAAGUUUUUGUCAAAAAACUAUGCAAUGAAAGAUAUGGGUGUAGCAGAUGUCAUUUUAGGAAUUAAAAUAUUUCGAUAUGAAAAUAACAUAACUUUAUCUCAAUCGCACUACAUUGAAAAAGUGCUUGAAAAUUUUAAUCUUACUAAUUGUAUUUCAGCAUCUAUACCCGAUGGAUCCUUAAAUUAAAUUAGUACUUAAUGUCGGUAGGGUUGUUGAUCAAUUACAAUAUGUAAGAGUAAUUGGUUUUCUUGAUGUAUGCAAUGACAUGUACAAGGCCAGAUACAACAUUUGCUGUUGAAAAGUUAAGUAGAUAUACAAGUAAUCCAGAUACUUUGCAUUGGCAAGUCAUAAAUUGAGUACUAAGAUAUUUAAAGAAAAUAAUUAAUUAUGGACUUUGCUAUAAUGGAUAUCCAUCAGUACUAGAAGGAUAUUCAAAUGCUAGUUGGAUUACAAGUUUAGAAGAUCAUGCUUCCACAAGCGGAUGGAUCUUCAUGCUUGGUGGGGGUGUCAUUUCUUGGGGGUCCAAGAAACAAACAUGUAUAACUGAUUCUACCAUGACAGUCGAAUUUAUUGCAUUAGUUGCUGCCACCAAAGAAGCUGAAUGGCUAAGAAAUUUACUCUAUAGUGUGCCUUUAUGGCCUAAACCAAUUUCUCCAAUUUCUAUCCGUUGUGAUAAUGAAGCAACUCUAGCAAAAACAUAUAGCCAAGUGUAUAAUGGAAAGUCUAGACAUAUUGGAUUAAGACAUAGCUAUGUUUGACAAUUAAUUUCUGAUGGAUUGAUCACUAUAACUCUUAUGAGGUCUAGUGAAAACUUGGCAAAUCAUUUAACAAAAAAUCUUACUAGAGAUCUUGUAAAUAAGACCUCACAAUGGAUGAGACUCAAGCUCAUAAAUUGAAAGUCACCAAUGGUGGAAACUCGACUCAACGUUUGGUAUAACGUCAAGUCUUGAGUUCAAUGAGAUAAAGUACAUCAUUUGUUUGUGGCUGCUAGCACUAUAAUAUAAUAUAUUUUAUCCUAAGUGAAGUGCUAGCUACCCGUAAUGGUAAGGAAAUGAUGAGUUAUAUAUCUUAAUAAACCCAUAACAUAAUUUGUUAGAAUGCUUUAGUUACGGGGGCAUUCAUGGGAUCUACCUAUUUUAGUGUGAAGUGUGGCCGCUUCCAAGAGUUCAAGAGCUUGGCUCUAACAGCACUCAUGAAAAGAAGAUACAGACGCAUGGCCAUAAAAGCGUCGUCAGAUACUGUGCAUUCAUUGGUAUUGAAAUCGUUGUGUGAGAUGUAUUUGGUUAACCAAAUGGAAUAACUGGUUCAAAACAUAGUCUGCCAUACAAUUUCGAUUAACUUUAAUAUGUUUUCACUAAAUGAAGGUUCAAUCGGAAGACACCUUCAUUUAUGCAAAUGAUUUCCAAGAUUAUCGAAAAUUUGAAUUAAUUUGAAAAUGGUGGGGGAUUGUUGAAUAUUUUCAAAUAAAAAAUAUGAUUUCAUAUCUUAAUAAAAGAAAAAAUUGUAACUGUUGAAAAUUAAGUUAAAAGAAGGGUUGUGUCUGUUGAAAAUAAAUAAAUAAAAUUAAAAAAAUAAUAAAAAGAGAGAAUAAGAAAAAGAGUUACGUCUAUUGGAAAAGAUCAACAAGAAGCAACUCUUUGAAACAGACACAAAUAGUGUCUGUUGGGCACCGACAUUUAUGCCUAUAAAAGAUACUCUCUUUAUCCAACAGAACGUACAUUAGAAAAAUAAAAACUUUCCUUCCUUUCUCAAAUUUCUCAAGUUUUCUUCUAUACUAUUUUUCUACAGAAAAAUAUUAUAGAAGUUUGAUAAUCUUGUUAUAUUCCGGUGAGUGCUCAGUGGAUUGAUUUCGUCAGUGUAAAAUGCAGUCAAUCAUUGGGUUUCAUUGUAUCUUCAAGAUUUAUACGCCGGAAACUCUUUUGCACACUACAAGUAGGGGCGAAUAAAACCUUAAAGACAGUAGCAUUGAUACACAUCUUGAAGCUAAUUUUUAAGUUUUCAGUUUAGUGUUCUAACAGCUGUGACUCUGAGGAAGUAAACUCUUCAUAUCAAACAACUGAAGGCUAGUGGUUUACUGUUGCAAAUCUAUUACACAAGUUUAUGCAUUGUGGUGAACCUAGUUGCAUAGUUCCAAAAUCAGCGGACCCCUGGCCGUAACAUAGGGAAGAAAGUCCAGCUAUUACCAGGCCUAGCUUCCUUUCUAGCAACCAGCUUCUCCUUUUGUUUUGUCGAAGUUGAACUCUUUAAUUGAACCAAGUGUAACAGACCGAUGCUUUUGAUAACUAUGCUCCUCUUCAGCUUUUCCUGAAGCUUUUUCAACUGUUUCAAUGGAAGUUUUCCUAAUAAACAACUCACAAGAACUUUCUAGAUCCUUUUUUAUUCCAUCUCUUUCUAUCCUGCCCUCAGCCACCAAGUCCUUUGGAUAUUCUGAUACGGUUCUACUUGGUAGCAAUGACUUGCUUUCGAGACAGCGUGCAACAUCUUCACCACUUAACUCAAAAGAUACUCUGUGAUCAACUAUCGUUUCAUCAUUUUUAGGUCCAUUUGCUUGGUUAGUAAGCAAUGCUACCUCAGAAAUCUGACUCCCUAUAAGAAAACCAUCUCGUGAGGGAGGACCCAAACCAUCAGGUGUCAAUGAUCCCGAACCCAACCUCGAACCCAACCCCAUACCGUCUGGAGUCACAGAUCCAGAACCCAGUCUUGAACCUCGCCCCAGUCCAUCUGGCGUCAAUGAUCCAGAACCUAGCCUUGAACACCAUUUGCGAGUGGUUAAAUUUUCAAAGCCUAAAAGUUUGGGAGCCUCCCCCAUGUGGAACUCAAGGAUUGGACGUCUAUCAGGGAAAGGAGAGGAUGUGCCAGAAUUAGAGAUUGCUGACCCAGGUGAUCUGAGGUUACCACCAGGGCUCCCAGGGUAUAUUUGAUAAGACUGAAACUCAUAAUGGGAUAAUCCAAAUUUCUAAUUGAUCCCACCGUUUCUCCGAGCACGCUCCAAUGAAGAUGCCAGCAAUUGAGCAAAUGGUACUUCAGGGGAUGAAGGUGUUGUCAGUUGAAUAGAUUCAGGAGGAGGUGUAAAAGGAGCAGUGGAUGGUUCAGGUGCCAAGGCAGAGAAUACAGGUGGUGUAACUAACUGGGUUUCAUGUGCAUAAGGGCCUAUGGCAAAAAUGGAUGCAGGGCCACGGGGGGAGUACGCAUUAACAGAAAGGGGAGUUAGGGACAGCAAUCCAGCUAGUGAUUGGGUGGCAGAUGGAGGAUCCGACUGGAGGAAUGAUGCAGGAGAUGAGGGAGGGGCAAUAAAGGGCAGUAUAAUGCCAGUUGGAUUACUUACAUUUUCAGCAGUUGAGACUGAAGCUCUGUUAGAUAUUAAUGCCUGCAUCCCCAAGACAAAUGUCCUUUUUGUAGUAAUACACUUUGCUUCGCUGUCCUGGUACCAAUGUAAGCUAACUAUGCUGUCUUGGUGUCACAUACGUGUUGCCUUGUUAAGGUCACGGUAGCCAUAUGCCUGACACUUGUUAAUACUAGGAACAGGCGUGAUGUAUGACACAGCAGUAUAUAAUCUUGUAAUCAAACCGUUUUAUAUAUGACACAUAUAUAUCUCAGUUUCAAUAGUCUGAACAGAGGCUUUAUGAAUUUCCUGAAAGAGUUUAUCGUGCUUGUUUUCAUCGCUCCUGGUACCACGGGUUCAGGAACAAGGACAGCAUGGCCAAUUCGCUUACUGUUUUUCUGAGAUCCAAAACACCAGUAAAGGCCCCAGCAGCUUCCCCAUUUUUUUUUCUGUAUUUAAAUGAAAGACUGUGAAUCAGUAUUUUGUACGGAAAAUAAGUUUUUCAUCCUCAAAUAUUCCACAUAAGGCAGUGAGCAAUAUAGGUACAUUCAUUUCAACUCUCAGCCCCCAUAACAAUAUGGGAGCGAAAGAUUAAUGAAGAGCAAGAUGAACACAAUCUUCAGUCUCUACACCUCCCUCAACCAAUGUAUUAUAGCAAUCAUGAAAAAUUCAAUUUGAAAAUUUAAGCUACCCAAAAUUAAACAUCUGCUUUCAUGCUGCUGAGUGCUGACAUUUUGGAGAACACCAUGUGCAUCAUGCUUUAUCAACACAAAAUUUUUCAAGUCUGAAAAUAAAUAUAUAGUCAAGCAAGAUUGCACUUAUAAAAAUAUGGUUUAUCAGACUCUAAAAUAGCAUCUCCCUCUGCCCAAACAUGAUACUGAGUACAUCAGGAUGACUAACUCCCACAUAUAAAGUUGAUAAAUUUUUCUCUGCCUGGUAGUUGCUGUAUGUUUAUUAAACUCUGGUUUUCCAUGUUCUUGGCUAAUUUCUUGUGUACAUACAUGAAAAAAAAGUUCAAGCACACUAGCAAACUUCACAUGCAAGCAGCAGAAACAAGUCUCAACAUCAUAAGAAUAGCACUAGCACAACAUUGAUCAUGAAUGCCUUUUUGACAUACAAUGGCAAUACACACAUACAUACAUACAUACUUAUGACUUUAAGGAAUAACUAGUUUUGAUUACUCUUUAAGAAUUCUAAGGAAGACUACACAUUAGAAUGCAAAUUACACAGUUUUUGAAAAUUACUUUUAAAUGCAAAACUACAAGACGGAUCAACUAUUUUGGCUAAUUAAACUUCGUUCUUCCCUGAAGAUGUUUCUAUAGGCAUCUCAAUAAAAUGGCAAAUAUACCAAGAAAAACCUGCAAACCAUUCAUAUCAAAUGACCAAUUAAGUUCCAUUUCUUUUAUAUUGUGUUUGUCAAAUCUCCUUAUUUUUCCACCACAACCUAAUAUCUCUUUUUAAAAAAAUUGCUGCAAUACACUCUAGCCUGAUAUCAGCAAAUUCUUCGACAAAAGACACUAAAAUGAACAGAAAAGCUGCCCCCACCCAAAGCAGGAAUGAGUUGCAGAAAACAGACAAAGAGGCAUAAUACCGAAAAUUUUACUGUUUUAAUUUUUAAAAAAAGAAGAAAAAAGGAAUAGUUAAACUUGCUAUACUCAAAUCUGCACUUUAGAAGUACGUAUAUAAAACGAUGUUUUUUUCUUUUCUACUUUUCUUUUUCUUUGAUAAGUCGAAUUCCACUGUUAAGAGGAUUUUUUUUUUAUGCCUAUUCCUGAUGCAAAACCAAAAAGUAAAAGCAGAACCUUAACUGAGCCUAGCUCAGCUAAUUGACUUGCUUGCCAAGAAUAAAACAAAUUAAAACUCAAGAAUAGGCAUAAGCAAAGAGAUCAACAUUCCUACAACAACUAGAUUCCACAGCUUCCUUUUCCAUCUUUCUGAACAAUUUGAAUUCCUUGACUCCCAGGGACCAUCCAGGAAGCCAUGAAUCUCAGUCUCACCCUGGUUUGAAUUUACACGGUUUCUAAGAGUGUCAUGAUGAGCCAAGUUCACACUGCCAUUCCCAUAGGGGGAGGUUAGCACAUUUUUAAUUUCCAAUCCAGGGUGUCGUCCUUGAGAGCAUGAUGAUGCCAAACGUGGAAUUGUGCCUGGUGAAAAAUGGUGAGAACUUACACUAUCCCCAGUAAGAAAUUGUGCAGCUGAAUCUUCUUCAUCUAUCUUAACAGAUAACAAAUUCCACUACAUGCAUACAAGUAAUAGAGCAUUGACAAUAGAUCCUAGUAUAGUCGCAGGAAGAAUUCCGGUUAAGAAUUCCCCAAAAGAAAUCCCACUCUCUGUGGCUAUAACCAAGUUUUGGGGGUUGCCAAUAGGAGUUGCUGUAGAUCCAAUAUUAGCACUUGAGGCAAGGGCAAGUGAGAAAGGUUGAGGUGGGAGAUUCUUCUGCCUUGCAAUUUUCAACACAAAUUCAGUCAAAACCAUACAAGAUGUGUCAUUGGUGAAGAAAGCACUUGAAAUGGCAGAAAUUAAGCAGAUUCUGCAAAUUAAGUCCUUUGCGCCUUUACUCUUCCAUGUGAGCAACUUACCUAAGUACUUAAAUGCAUCUGCACUUUCAAGAUAUCCACUGACAACCAUUGUACCAAAGAGUAGACCAAGGAUUGAAAGAUCGAUUGCUUCAUAUGCUUGAUCAACAGUUAGGACUUGAAAAAUGACCAUCAGCAUACCUCCUAAAAGGGACCCUGCAGUCCUCCCGAUGGGUAGACAUGGAACAGCAGGAAAAACUGCCAGUACCCAGAAGAUUGCAAAGGCAAUUGAGCCUAGAAUCAGUUUUACAUAAGACGCCAUUGCCAUCUUUUAGCAUUCUUUAAAAGCCUUAUCUAACAGACUGCACAAGGCUCCAGGCCUUCAAGCUCGAAAUCUUGAUAAUUGAAACGAUAAAGAUUGUCUAAAAUACCUUAUGUUUCUGUCUUGGGAUCAGACUGCUGAUUUCGUUCUGCUUGGGAAAAGUAAUACUAGUAAGAACAACAACUACAGCUACUAUUUCUAGCAAGUACAACAAAAUUAGCUUUAUAUUUUAUCAGCAAGACUGUUACGAGAAAGCUGUUGACAGUAAAUUAAACUACAUUCCAUUCCCUGGAAAAAAGCUAGUUCAAUUAGCUUUUAGUUGAGAAUACUUUGCACUGCCAGAAUCCCACAUGUAUUUUGGCUGGCCUGUCUUCUCUCUUCUCUCUUCUGUUUUUUUAGAGUUCCAGAAUUUGUAAGAAACCCCACUUGCACCUUGCAAUUAUUGAGGAGGUACAGGGAGCAACCGCUGAUUCUUGGCUAGGUUGCCCCGGGUCAUGAUAUAUCCUGAUAUUAAGAUAUUUCAUAGGAUAUUUAAAAAUAGUAAAAAUUAAGAAAAAUGAUAAAAAUAGAUUAACGGCAAAACUAACAAAAAAUAUAGUAAAUAAAGUUAUACUUGUAAAAAUUUGAAUUUAAAAAUAAUAUAUCCAUGCAUCUAAUAAAUAAAGAAAACAAAUCUUCAUCUUUUUAAAUUUAAGUAUAUUUUCUUAUUAGCCACCCAAUACCAAAAAAUAAUACAUUUUCUCACUGAUGUUUAUAUUUAUUAGAACUAUCAACUUAUGUUUAAUCUGAUUUAUUUUCCUAAUACAAUAUAUUUUACACUCACUUUUACCUAUUUUACAAAUAAAAAUAUCAAAAUAAAAACCUAUUUAUGCUUUAAAAAAAAACCCUAUUUCAUGAAAAAUAUUAUAUUAUUUUACCUAUUCUUCUUUGUAGACAUGUUAUAAUUAACCAAUUUCUAAAAAUAAAAUAAAUUAGAAGGAACCAAAUUAAUACAUAAACUUACAGUAACUUGUCCCUUGGGGACAUCCGAUACAAUAGUAACUUGUCUGGAAAUAAAAACAUUUGACGGAUUAGAUUUAAGAAUAAGAUAUGCGGCUUCAACUGUGCCAUCGUCAUUUCAAUAUUUUCAAUGCGCUAUGCGUAAGAUCUACUCGGAUUUUUGAGUGGCUUCCGGGAUCUACACAUGUAUUAUUUAGGGAUCACUCACUCACCCUGUCUUGGGUUGGAAUAUUUUAUACUACUAUAUUCCCGAGUCACCCUAGCAAAGCCAUUUACUACUGCUAUUCUUUUUGUUCUUGUUUACAAAGAGCGUUACCAAAGACAAAAAGAAGAAAAAGAACAAAGAGAGUUAAAUUCAAUAAUUCAUGAUUAAAAAAGAUUAGACAAAUUAAACUAUUGAAUGGAUCUCGAUAAAUGAAGUCCAUGUUAUUUCUAUAUCGUGAAAGAAACGUUAGUAGUAAAUUUGGUCACAUAAAUUAUUGUUAAAGAUAUUAAUAGAUAGAGUAUUUAUUAUUAUUAAGAUAUUUUAUCUUGAAUUUUAUUAUUUGAUAGACUACUCGAAUGUUAUAAAUUUAUAAUCAAUUUUUACGUAUAUUAUUAUUAUUAUUAAAAAUUAAAAUUAAUUUUAUAAACAAAUAAAUUAAAUUUUAAAAUCAUAUUUAGAUUAUUGAUGAAUUUUAAUAAAUAUUUUCUAUUAUUUAUAAAAAAUUCGUAAAAAAUAAUUUAUUGUUAAAAAUAAUUAUUUACAAUUAAACUUAAAUAAUAAAUAUUUUAAAAUUACUAUUCAAAUCUUACCUUAACUGUGACUAACAUAGUCUAAUAAUAAUGUUAGUAUUCAAAUGAGGGUUGGGCUUCCUACCUAUUAGUCAUUAGACUCAAAGAAGAAGGGCUCAAGAUUGCAAUUCGUCGUUCGAAAUUGCGGGCCCAAGACUUACCAAUACUAAUCGAUAAUCACAGAACUUGAAGAAAACUGUAAAAUUGGCAUUGGGCAAAGCACACUCAAUUUGUGUCUGCGUGAGCAUGGAAUUUGAAGGGCUGUGUUUAUUUAGCUAGAUAUAUAUUCAUGGCUAAAAGGGAAAAAGAAAUUUGAUCAUGAUCAAUUUUUGCGCAGAAUCUAGCAUUAGCUGGCAAGUUGGAUGUUGUUUUCUAGUUUAUCAAGGCAAAUUACUUUAAGAAUUUUAUCAAUUUUAGCAUGACAUCAUGUAAAUGCAUAUGAUUAACAAGUAAUAUAGUGGUGAGGGAGUUAUAUCUACAAAGAAUUGUAUCUAAAUUUUUACUAAUUAUUAAAAUUCGGCACUCUAAUCUUAUCCAAGUAAUUUAAUUUUGAAAAUUGAUUAAAAUUGAAAUUAAAGUAACAAAGCUAAACUAAUGAAUUAACGUUAAGAAAUUUCUAGAAGUUCAAUAAAGUAGAACCUAGACUGUGGUACUCUACUUUUCACUUGGAUUUAAUUUCACUCAUUAUACUUAUAUUAAUGAGUUGGUUGCUAACCUAGAAUAUAAAUUUAUCUACAAUUCUCUGUUGAGAUAUUAUAAACAAACCUAUCUUAACUAAUUUUUCAUGUCUAUGUAAAUUAAUUAAGGUAAGUUCACUAAGUUUAUACCUUAAUCUUAGUUGCACAUGGUAUUUAGGUAUAUUUUUAUCCUAAAUAUUAAUCAAAUCACCCAUACUCUAAGCAAAGUAAACACAUGUUAUUCAAAUCCUUGAUGUAUUCUAAAUUUCCUAUGUCAAGUUGUAUUUAGAAAUCCAACUUAAUUUAAUUAUUGAUCAAACAAUUAGAAGCAAUAAACAUCGAUUUGAAAUAAACAACAGAUUACCCAUUAAUAUUAAGUAAAAGAAAAUUAAAAUAUCCAAACUAUAAGUAGAGAUUAACCACAAUCUUAGGAAUAGAAAUUCAAUUCAACAUAUUUAAUACAAAAUCUAAUAUUUUUUAAAAAAUAUUCAUUUUGCAAUAAAAAGUAGAGAGAGAUAGAACUAGUGAGAGAAAAAUGAGCUGAUGUAGAUGAUUGAAGCUCCCCCAAAAAUCCUUGAAUCCUCUCCUUCCUCUGUUUUUUAGAAAGUUGCCUCUCUUUUCUAGCUCCCAAAAAAACUUGAAAAGUCCCUCUUUUCAAUUUUAAAAAGGCCUAUUUUCACCACUCCAUGUAACCUUUCGAUUUAAAAGAUCAAAGAGUGUAAAAAUUUAUCAACUUGCGCGUCGGCAUUGCAACGUUGGAAGCACGACACUGCAGCGCCCAAGCUUUUGGCUUGGGAGCUUGCUAGUUGGCUAGGACAGUGCUGUACUUGCUGUUUCCAUGCUUUGUUCUUUCAAGUUGCUUGGAGCAAAACUACUGUGGUCAAGCUAGUUUUAAUGCAAUUUUGAUUAUGUUCUGAUAAAAAAUGGAUGAAGUGAUAAAAAUAAAAAUUGUAGUUAUUCCUCUUAGCUUUCUAAUGGUCUAAAAAUCACGUUAAUUGGACUUCUAUAACUUGAAUUAUGUUUAAAAUACCAUAACAUAUUAAGUGAAAUCUACACCUGAUUAAUUUGUAUAAUUUUUUGUCACUUGACGCAUUCUCUUUUGAAGAUCUUAAAAACAUAAAAACUAAAUCAAUCAUAGUUAAAAAUAGACAUUUUUAUCAUACAAAUAAAUUAAAAUAACUUGAAGUAAAUUAACUCAAUCAUAAGUUAACUAAUUAACGAAAAAAAAAAAAAAACAACUUACAAUUUUACUUAAACACAAAGAUUUAGUUAUUUUAUCACUUAAAAUAUGAUAAAAUAACUCUAUAUAAUAAAAUUUUCAUUGGAGAACAUAGUGACUUUUUUUUUCUUUUUGGCUAGAAGAAAGCCAUGACAAAUGCAACAGUUCAAGACUAAUAGCAUUAUUUCAUUUAACAUAAACCAAAACCAGUCGCUUUGAAACAAACAUUUGCUGCCAUGCCUAAUUGGGGAAACCUCGCAAAUCUCGAUCUUCUCUAUAAGAUGAGUGCCAUGUAUUCUUUUCUUUGUGUUUUUUCUUAUAAGCCUCCUUUUUAGGACAUUUAUUUAAUCAUCUAAAGAGUGUCAAACCGAUAGCAGUAACUAUAAGCGUUGAGGGAACUCCAAAUUUAAGGUGUUUCCAGAAGGACAAAGUGUAUCCAAGCUGUGGAGCACGACGAGCUUGCUCACACACUAUCAAGUUAGCAGCUGAUCCCAGUAGUGAAAGGUUCCCAGCCACAGUGCUGACCCAGGCUAACAUAAGCCAUGCUUUCUUCUCAUCAGAUGCAGAAAUUGCAGCAGCUGAUGCUGCCACUCGCCCUCCAAGCAACAGAACUGAAAAGUAUCAAACAUGUUGGUGUUAAGCAACUAGAAAGUAAUGUGACCUGGCACAUAAAAGGUGGUUGCAAAACUGAUUACUAUUUCAGGAGAAAAGAAAUGAAGAAACAAAGAUCUGUACUUUAAAGUUGCCAGUGUUAUCAGAUAUAUAUUCAUAGGAAAGAAACAUCAGCAUACCGGUCGGUACAUUUGAGGCCAAAUUGGAGAGGCCAAGUAUGACAAUGGCUAGAAUUGCUAUCCCUGAAACAUGAUUGAUCUUUGCAUAGGGUUCCAUCAAGUCCCAAAGAGUGCAUGGGAUUCCACUUUGGUUGAAGCCAUCGACUGUGAUAAACAUUCCGCAGAAGAAAAUUAAAAGCGAAUAGGACACCUGGUCACAGAAAAUAAUUGAGCUUAAUUAAUUAACUAUAUCUGGCCAAAAAAAUAACAAGUAAAACAUUUAAGUUCUUAUGAAACUAAUAAUGCUUUUCUUUUUCUCUUUUUUUUUUUCUAUUUCCAAUCUGAUUUUAUUGUUUAAAAACCUUUUCUAGGCAAGGCCGAGCAUCCUGAAAGUCAAGAACUAUAAGAGCAAGAGCAGCGGUAAUUGCAGUCCAGGACAUAUUAAGGCCCAUAAGCAGAGAAAUCAGCAUCCCCAUGGUAACAAAGUAAACACUGAAUUUCCAAAACCUCCUUUUCCACCUUCUGGGUAAGUUUUCCUUUUCUUCUGAAGAUUGCACAGAACAUACGUCUUGCAAGCUAUCCGUCAAUGCAAUAAUCUUUAAAGCCACAGGUUCCUCCUUCCCAUGGGAGUGGUCAUCCGUUGUGGCCUCCUUUGAUGCAUUUGAAUUCCUUGCAGAAUCAAUUGAACCACUAGGUACCCUCUGGAUUUCAUUCUGAUCAGCUGAAUUUCCUCGGUUUCUAAGGGUCUCAACAUGAGCUG